This 337-nucleotide ribosomal RNA is filed under the name uncultured bacterium. RNAcentral's name for it is "bacterial SSU rRNA". It matches the Rfam family "Bacterial small subunit ribosomal RNA", at positions 8 to 334 of the family's 1533-position model. The record is from RNAcentral.
AGAGUUUGAUUCUGGCUCAGGAUGAACGCUAGCUACAGGCUUAACACAUGCAAGUCGAGGGGUAACGACAGCGAAAGCUUGCUUUUGCUGGGCGACGACCGGCGCACGGGUGAGUAACGCGUAUCCAACCUGCCCAUAACUAAGGGAUAAUCCGUAGAAAUGCGGUCUAAUACCUUAUGUGUUCCAACGAAGACAUCUGAAUUGGAAUAAAGAUUUAUCGGUUAUGGAUGGGGAUGCGUCUGAUUAGAUUGUUGGCGGGGCAACGGCCCACCAAGUCUGCGAUCAGUAGGGGUUCUGAGAGGAAGGUCCCCCACAUUGGAACUGAGACACGGUCCAA